UUCGCGCCAUUCCAUCUACGUCAUAAACGCGCCAUUUCACUAGGUUCAAGGAUUUUGAGCAUACUAAUACCGUCCUAUGGCACCUACAGGAGCCAAGAGGAAAUAAGGGCACUCUCAACAGUACUGGAAAGACACAUGAAUAAGACUUCUAUAGCACUUUCCGAAAUGCAAAGGGAAGUAAAUGACAUCAAACACAUGGUACUACAAAAUAGAAUGGCUCUGGACCUCGUUCUGGCCUCACAAGGCGGGGUAUGCAAGAUAAUCAACACUGAAUGUUGCGCUUACAUCUCCGAUGCAACAUCAUCAGUUUAUGAUGUGGUGGCAGACACAGAGCAAGGCAUUAAGGAAUUGCAUGAGGACCACGGCUGGAAUCCUUUUGGGGAAAUGCAGGCAUGGGUUGGAUCAUGGGGAACUUCUCUUCUCAAAGGACUGCUAUGGAUGUUGGGGGGUAUCUUUUUGUCUGUAAUUAUCAUAACCCUACUUGUAACUGUUCUUAAGAUCUGUGUAAGGAAGGUUGUUAGUACACAUGUAUCAGUUGAACACACAAGUACUACUAUACAGUGUCCGGUUCAGGAAUGGACUCCACCAUAUCCGGAUAGCUCUGACAGUGAUGAUGAGUGUGAGGCUUGUGUGUAAUGUAUGUGUUGAUGUUUAGCGAUAGUUUUCAAAGUACUUAGAAGUUAAUGAUGUGAUGUUCUGAAUCUUCGUGAAUUUACACCACUGAUGUAUGUUCUAAGAGUUUUGUUGUUUAAUUUUCUUUCUUAAUUUCGAUUUGGUUGUGUUUAGAGUUUCUUAAGUUGAUUCCUGAUUGUCAAAAAAUGACAAAAAGAGAGGGAUGUUGGGGGAGAAUUGUUGAGCCCGCAUAGGGUGAGGCUCUCAGGAAUGUUACCUUUGAUGUGAGCCGGUGACUUAAGGCAGUCCAGGGUGAGAUAAGACACGGAUGAAAACAUGCGUGCCCUGACUGACCUUUUAGAUGUUGUUGGUUGUCUGGGACCAUAAAGGGAGGGUCACAGGGUCACCCCUACAUCAUCUGUUACUUUUCCUACAUUCCUCUUGAGGGGUGGGUUGUCCUGUCCUGAGGCAGCACAAACCCCCCCAAGUGUAUAAAACCUCCUGUACUCCUCUUUGACUUGGUCAGAUCUUCCUGCUCCUCUUGGGGGAAGGAACCUCUGUCCCUUUUCAGCUGAAUUGUGGUCAUUUGACUUCUGUCUGUACUUACGGCUUGUGUUGAUGAUUUCUGUAUUCUUAUGAUUUUUCCUAUAUUCUAGUUAGUAAAAUACUUAAUCAUAAGCGAGUCUCUGAUACUUUUGAUUUCUCACAAGGGCUGAAUCCCCAAAUUUCCACCACAU
Molecule: long non-coding RNA, 1349 nt
Organism: Gasterosteus aculeatus aculeatus (three-spined stickleback)
Lineage: Eukaryota; Metazoa; Chordata; Actinopteri; Perciformes; Gasterosteidae
Source: Ensembl